AUGGAAGCUUGCUUCUAUCAAUCUUAGUGGCGAACGGGUGAGUAACGCGUAAUCAACCUGCCCUUCAGAGGGGGACAACAGUUGGAAACGACUGCUAAUACCGCAUACGAUCCAAUCUCGGCAUCGAGACUGGAUGAAAGGUGGCCUCUAUUUAUAAGCUAUCACUGAAGGAGGGGAUUGCGUCUGAUUAGCUAGUUGGAGGGGUAACGGCCCACCAAGGCGAUGAUCAGUAGCCGGUCUGAGAGGAUGAACGGCCACAUUGGGACUGAGACACGGCCCAGACUCCUACGGGAGGCAGCAGUGGGGAAUCUUCCGCAAUGGACGAAAGUCUGACGGAGCAACGCCGCGUGAGUGAUGACGGCCUUCGGGUUGUAAAGCUCUGUUAAUCGGGACGAAUGGUUCUUGUGCGAAUAGUGCGAGGAUUUGACGGUACCGGAAUAGAAAGCCACGGCUAACUACGUGCCAGCAGCCGCGGUAAUACGUAGGUGGCAAGCGUUGUCCGGAAUUAUUGGGCGUAAAGCGCGCGCAGGCGGAUUGGUCAGUCUGUCUUAAAAGUUCGGGGCUUAACCCCGUGAUGGGAUGGAAACUGCCAAUCUAGAGUAUCGGAGAGGAUAGUGGAAUUCCUAGUGUAGCGGUGAAAUGCGUAGAUAUUAGGAAGAACACCAGUGGCGAAGGCGACUUUCUGGACGAAAACUGACGCUGAGGCGCGAAAG
RNAcentral lists this ribosomal RNA (713 nucleotides) under Veillonella sp. HGFM61. RNAcentral's name for it is "bacterial SSU rRNA". It matches the Rfam family "Bacterial small subunit ribosomal RNA", at positions 72 to 759 of the family's 1533-position model. Lineage: Bacteria; Bacillati; Bacillota; Negativicutes; Veillonellales; Veillonellaceae. The record is from RNAcentral.